UACGUAGGGCGCAAGCGUUAUCCGGAAUUAUUGGGCGUAAAGAGCUCGUAGGCGGUUUGUCGCGUCUGCCGUGAAAGUCCCGGGGCUCAACUCCGGAUCUGCGGUGGGUACGGGCAGACUAGAGUGAUGUAGGGGAGACUGGAAUUCCUGGUGUAGCGGUGAAAUGCGCAGAUAUCAGGAGGAACACCGAUGGCGAAGGCAGGUCUCUGGGCAUUAACUGACGCUGAGGAGCGAAAGCAUGGGGAGCGAACAGG
RNAcentral lists this ribosomal RNA (254 nucleotides) under uncultured bacterium. Its description in RNAcentral is "partial 16S ribosomal RNA". It matches the Rfam family "Bacterial small subunit ribosomal RNA", at positions 524 to 776 of the family's 1533-position model. The record is from RNAcentral.